RNAcentral lists this long non-coding RNA (748 nucleotides) under Pan troglodytes (chimpanzee). Its description in RNAcentral is "lincRNA". The record is from RNAcentral. Lineage: Eukaryota; Metazoa; Chordata; Mammalia; Primates; Hominidae.
GAAUGGGGUGGAUAGCAGCUGUCUUCAUCACUGUCAUCAUUGUUGGCUCACAUCAAAUCAGGACCAGAAAACCCUGUUGACUUCUGGGUCUUAAACUGCUGUAUCAGUGAGGGGCUUCCUCCUCAUACUCAUUGCCAGGAGUAGAGUAAGGCUUUUAAUUUCAUCUCUAACCAACUCUGAUAGGGCUGGAAAUGUGUAUGGAGUUCCAGACCCACCAUGGGGCCCCAGUGCUAGCUUCUUAGCCCUCCUUUGUAAGGUUUGCACUAGUCUGAUGGGAGAGGGAUUUUUUUUGUCUUGAUUCUGAAGCUCUUAAAGAAAUGCUCCUUUUUCUCCAUAACUUGAGGAUUUCACAAUUGUAUUGGAAUUAUUGGUGUUAAGGAGUUAGGUCCAUCUCUUGGCAGCUUGUGAAGGGUGGGCAGGCACCUGUGAAUUCUUCACUGGCUUCUUGUAAGAAUGACUUUACUGGAGGGUGCUGAGUUUGUGAUUAUCUCCUCUGCUGCUAGAAAACUCCGUGAACCCUGGUACAUAUAGCGUGAUAAAUCAAGUCCUGUUUUUGCUCCUAACUUGCAUUAUGGUGUUUGAUACUAUAUCUUCAUUUCUCCCAUGGUAGUAAUAACACUGUUGGAAAGAGCUCUCAGGUGGAAGUUGAAGAUCCAGGUUCUAGUUGAGGCACCAGAGUUUCCUUGGGCAAGUUGCCAUACCUUUUUGGGCCUUGGUUUCCUCAUCUCAAUAAAAUGAGUUUCUGUUC